Mercenaria mercenaria is the source of this 3007-nucleotide long non-coding RNA. RefSeq lists it as uncharacterized. NCBI's taxonomy places the organism in Eukaryota, Metazoa, Mollusca, Bivalvia, Venerida, Veneridae. The record is from RefSeq and is a predicted model, not a curated record. The transcript has 5 exons.
CGUGGCCCCAAACCGACCCCUAUACUACUUAUGCUGUUCUUAACAAGUAAGCACCAUGCUUCAAUUAUAAGUGAAUAACUUUGAAAAAUAAUGUGUUGUUGUGUUUAUAUAUUACUCCAAACAUUACCCGUUUUUCAAAAAAAUGUGAUUUUUAUGUGAAAUUUGAGGCUUUAUUUAUGAUUUUCGCCUUGGUGGCAUCCUUUACCAGUCUUAAUAUUUUAACCACUACUUUGUACAUUAAAAACCAACAAAAAGUGCAAAAAUCAUCGCUGGUGAGCAGUGCCGCCAUAUUCAAAAACGAAAAAAACGUCCGUCUCCGAGGCACAUUUUUAUCCCAAAUGACACAAGCCUCGAUUUCGAUAAAAUGACGUUGAAGUUGACGUACCUUAAUUAGAUAUUUGUUUUCAUUAAUUUGUUUUUCAAGCAACAGUCAUUAGUGUUACAAUAAUAUCGGACGAAGAUUUUUAAGUUUAAUCGUUUCAACAUUUAGUUAUCGCGCUCAGUGAAAUAUCACAAAUAAUGAGUGAAUUAGCGAAUUGUUCCCCUUUGAAAUCAACACGCCAUUAACGGUGUAUACAUGUGUGAAACUGGGUCAGAGGAAACAUGCAAUUAUUGCUCUGAAUAUACGCGAAUAUUUAAAGUGCAUAGCGGAUAUAUUAAUUGUAAUGGGUAAUCUCCAGCAGUAAGAAAUAAAAAGGUUCACCGUAGUUUUGACUAUGCUCAACAAGUAUUGAACCCAUACUAUGCUCAACAAGUAGGGCACUUGUAUUUUAAGCCAACACAUAAAAGCAGAUUCUUUGGAGUUGCUGUGAAUCCUUGUGCAGAUUCUUUGGAGCUGCUGUGAAUCCUCAUGCAGUACAGUACUGCUGUUGGAAGAGGAGCAAACAGUGUGGUAUCUAUGGUCCACCAUCACUUCAAGCAUCAUGGCUAUGGAGAAAAGAAUGUUACAUACAAUAAUAGUGGAUGAAAUAAGAAAAGUUGUAAUAAGCUAUGGAAUGUGGCUUGUUACGAUGGGUCUACAUGAUGAAUUGGAGUACAACCUGAUGCAGGCAGGGCAUACAGAAUUCAGUCCUGAACAUGAUUAGAAUGUCUUCUGCAUGACCUGGUAUAGUAUUCUUGAAGGAUUAUAACUUCAACACAGAGACGAAGAUUAAUAUUUUUUAAGCAGGGGGUUGGCAUGACAGGCAAAUUCACAGCCGUAUUACCAUUCCUGAGCUGGAUGCCAGUCGACAGUGGUACCUGUAUAAUGAAAUAGCGCCCUUUUGCCGCAACAGCAAUGCAUGUUUAAAACCAGCAGUGCAAAAGCCAUUAAAAUUGAGAGCUCCAGUCAUUUAAAACGGAAAAUGAAUGGAAAAAAAGUGUUUUACAUUUAAAAUAAUACAGAGAAAAAGCUCUGACAUUUUAAUUAUUUUGAAAGGGUUUUUGAUUUUUUGAAGCUGUACUAGACCCAAAUUCCAUAUAUCUGAAUACCAGAAAUGGUACAUAUAGUUUAUGUAAAUACUGAAUUAACAACUUUAUGGUGUCAACAGUAAUACGCAUUUUUUAAAUAUUGACACACUAUAUACAUGUAAGGCUGAACACAGUAUAAAUGUGAAAUUCCUCUAAAACACUGGAAGAUUUGUCAACAACAAUUGUAACAUAUACUGUAGUAAUGUACAUUUUUUUCAUUACGACAGUUAGAUUAUAUAGAUCUGCGAAUAUUUUCUGCUGUAUUCAAACUGCAUGUAAUCAUUUCAGUGGGCAGUAUCAUGUUCAUUUUCCCUUUUCAUGAACAAUUAAUUUAACCUGUCUGAAAUCACAAUAUAUGUAUAAUUUGUAAAACAAACAUUGGAUUAUUGUGGAAACAAUUUAGUUUUUGUAUUAUUGCCGUUAGUAUCAUCUAAUUUUUUAAUACGAUCAAGACAUUUAAAAAGACAGUUUUCUAAAACUAUUACUGUGUGUUAAAUGAGAUUAUGUAGUAUUGUGUUUACUGAAUUAACUGCGUAACCAUGGAAACAUUUUUCUGUUGUUCUAUAUUAUGUCUUGAGAAGAAAAAACAUUGUUUGAAGAACCCUUUUCAUUGGUGCAUUUUUUUUAAUUUUUACAUGUAAUGGUAAAUGCUGAAAGUGUUCUACAUUAACUUACCAGAAACGUCAUUGUUGUCUCAUUGAAGCAUAUACUGCAACUCCAUUGUAACCAUAGCAACAGAAAUAUAUUGUAUUAUUUAUGAAUAACGAUCUUCACCAACAAAUUACAUAUGUAUUUUUCUAAAAGAAUGACCUCAAUUGGUUUUAUUCCAUAAAAAUCAGACAUAGCAAAUAUUCUCAUUUUGAUCUCCGUUUCCAUGGCAACCAUAUUUUUUUGGCCUCAAAUUAUAGGCGUUGCUUAGGGUUAUAUCUUAGCAUAUGAGAAUGUUAAUUAUACGUUCUGAUGUAAUUGUUAUAAGAGAUUUUCCUGUUUCCAUAAAGAAAAUCAAUCGGUUGCCAUGGCAACAGCAGAAUUUCAAAUGAAUUAAAAUAUGAGAUUUUGCAUUAUGAGUUGUUGAUCAUUCAUUAUAGUAAUAUUUCAACAACAUUUGAUGUUGUGCCAUUUUCACCUGUAAGUGAACCGAGCCCUUUGUCACAUCUUCAGAGAUAAUUGAUAUUCUAUUAUUAUAAUAAACCUUUUAUUGUCGAUCUGCAGGUAAAUUACAAACCUUAUAUUCUAUUUUCCUUUAAAAUUAGAGCCCGCCCGCUUAGCUCAAUAGGUAAGAGCGUUGGUCAACGGAUCUCGGGGUCGCGAGUUCGAUCCUCGGGCGGGGCGUAUGUUCGCCGUGACUAUUUGAUAAACGACAUUGUGUCUGAUAUCAUUAGUCCUCCACCUCUGAUUCAUGUGGGGAAGUUGGCAGUUACUUGCGGAGAACAGGUUUGUACUGGUACAGAAUCCAGGAACACUGGUUAGGUUAACUGCCCGCCGUUACAUGACUGAAAUACUGUUGAAAAACGGCGUUAAACCCAAAUCAAACAAACAAACAAAUUAAAAUUAGAUG